Nannospalax galili (Upper Galilee mountains blind mole rat) is the source of this 105-nucleotide small nuclear RNA. NCBI's taxonomy places the organism in Eukaryota, Metazoa, Chordata, Mammalia, Rodentia, Spalacidae. The record is from Ensembl.
GUUCAUGUUAGCUGCACCUACACUAAAAUGGGAAUGAAACAGAGAAGAUUAGCAUGGUCUCUGCACAGGCACAACAUGCAAAUUCAUGGACUUUUCCAUGUUUCC